RNAcentral lists this long non-coding RNA (1318 nucleotides) under Anser brachyrhynchus (Pink-footed goose). RNAcentral's name for it is "lncRNA (ENSABRG00000001136.1)". Lineage: Eukaryota; Metazoa; Chordata; Aves; Anseriformes; Anatidae. The record is from RNAcentral.
NNNNNNNNNNNNNNNNNNNNNNNNNNNNNNNNNNNNNNNNNNNNNNNNNNNNNNNNNNUGGGUGCUGGGGGCUCUGCUUGCAGCCCACCACCCCUCCAUCUCCUGCCCUGCCCGGCCGGGGGCUCGGCAGCACCCAGGCUGCUUCCCCGCUCCCGAGCAUCCCUUUGCACCAGCCCUGCACACAAGUUGGGGUUCAGACAGCCCCCGACCAGCCCACUCUGCUCCGUUCCCUGCGUUGCACCCUGGCCUUAUCCUGCCACCCCUCCUUAGGGCAUCGCCCCGAGGAUGCUCAGCACCCAUCGGGGUCCAGGCGCUGCUGCAGCCCCCGUGCCGUGGGAUCUGGGGGGGGUCUGGUGGCUGGGCAAAGGUGCCAAAGCCGCCCUGCCCAAACCCGGCGUGGAUCAGGGAAGGGAAGUGGUGUGGAAACCAGGCUGUGCUCGAGGCCAGCGCCCCAAAUCCGGCACCUGCUGGGGCGCAGGGCUGGCACCGAGAGUACAACACUGCCAGUGCCUGCCGCGGGGAGGGAGGGGACGGCGUCGGUGGCGGGGCUGCGUGCCGUGGUACAACGUGUGGGAAGCAGAUAGGGGCUAUGAGUCAAAGAACAACCUUCGGACGGAGCAGCUGCUGGGAUAAACGCAGGAUUUUUCACCCCGCCACCACCUCCGACAUCGCCCCUGCUCCGGAUCGGGCACGGCGGUCGCGCCAGGCCGCGGCGGGCUGGGCACUGCGGGCUGUCCCGCUGCCAAACUGCUCCACCAAGGCAGGACCUCCACAGAGACCACCCCGGGGCUGGGUUUUGUCAGGCCGAGGGUAUUUUUUUUUUUUUUUUCUCUUGGGACCCUUGCAGGACCAGGCUUGCAGGCUGCCGAAGGAGCCGCGCUGUUAAUUUUUAGCGCUACGAAACCCUGGGGAAAUUCCAGCGGGCUGGAGGGCGGCCAGUGGGAGUCUAAACGUGUAAAAGGGAUAAAAGGGCUGACCCUGGGAAUUACAGACCAGGUAGGCUGAUGGCAGUCCCUGGGCAAAUUAUGGGCUGGGUAAUUGGGGAUCCUGUCAGCCAAAAAUUAGAAGCUAAAAAUAUAAUUAAGGUCGUUAGCUCGGUUUCAUGGAUGGCAGCUCCUGUCAAGUGAGUCGGCUCUGCUUUUUGGCAUCACUCUGGGCUGGCUGAUAAAGCUAAUUGCGUUGCUGCGUUAUAAUGGGUUUCUCCCAAGUAUUUAAUUUACAGCCAGGCGACGUUUCCAUUCGCAAAACCUGCAUUAUGUGGAGUCACCGGAGCAGACACCCGACGGCUGCGGCGGCGAGGGGCUGGCGACGGAGGCGG